This 493-nucleotide ribosomal RNA is filed under the name uncultured bacterium. RNAcentral's name for it is "bacterial SSU rRNA". It matches the Rfam family "Bacterial small subunit ribosomal RNA", at positions 28 to 512 of the family's 1533-position model. The record is from RNAcentral.
GAUGAACGCUAGCGACAGGCCUAACACAUGCAAGUCGAGGGGCAGCACAUGAGUAGCAAUACGAUGGUGGCGACCGGCGCACGGGUGAGUAACACGUAUGCAACCUGCCUUCUACUAUGGGAUAACCCGUUGAAAGACGGACUAAUACCGUAUAAUACAGGGGCUCCGCAUGGAGAUAUUUGUUAAAGAUUUAUUGGUAGAAGAUGGGCAUGCGUAUGAUUAGAUAGUUGGUGAGGUAACGGCUCACCAAGUCAACGAUCAUUAGGGGUUCUGAGAGGAAGGUCCCCCACACUGGUACUGAGACACGGACCAGACUCCUACGGGAGGCAGCAGUGAGGAAUAUUGGUCAAUGGACGAGAGUCUGAACCAGCCAAGUCGCGUGAAGGAAGACGGUUCUAUGAAUUGUAAACUUCUUUUGUGCAGGAAUAAAGUGGGUUACGUGUAACCUUUUGUAUGUACUGUACGAAUAAGGAUCGGCUAACUCCGUGCCAGC